Molecule: non-coding RNA, 736 nt
Organism: Doryrhamphus excisus (bluestripe pipefish)
Lineage: Eukaryota; Metazoa; Chordata; Actinopteri; Syngnathiformes; Syngnathidae
Source: RefSeq, a predicted model, not a curated record
AGUUGCAGGGAUGCCGCUGGUUCCCUGACUCUGUUCCCCUCACCUGUGCUGUCACCUAAACGGUUUACUUACCUGUUGCUUCUGUUAUUUGUUCUCACAGAACCUUUUUCACCUUUUGUCGCCUUAUCCUGCACAAAAGUGCACAAAACCCCACAGCACAUCUGGCUGCCAGUAAGACGGAGCACAUUUAAGGGUUGUCUGAGCGGCGGCGAUCAAAGAGAAAGAUGGAGGUUAACUGACCAGACCCGAGAACGUCCACACAGGAACCUGAGGGACUUGUCUCUGUUAGCCCAGGUACCCAAUAAUCUGACACACACACACACUCAAUCAGCAGAGAGCGGAAGGGUAACCACUGGGGAUUUCAGGAUCCGUAAGGUUCAAACUAACUUUGUCAUUUCACUCAUGAAGCUGUAGCCUUUUCACACAGUAUCCACAACCUCGCCACAAAAUAGCUUAGCGCCAACUCCGGCUUCGAUUCUGUCGUGAAGAUAUUCCUUCCUGGAAUACAGAAGUCCUAUAAAGUGAGUAUAAGUUAUAUUGUGUGCAUCCCUAGAGAGGAAACCAAUGACUAGUCUUGCAGUAAGAAGUUAGACGUUCUGCCGCUAUAUCUCAAAGUAACAAUCCACGCCCAAGGACUGAGUGAGUGGUGCAUUUGUGCUGGAAGUUAAGUUGGAAGUUAUAAAAACACACACACAAAAAAAAAACAAUAAAAGACGAGUGUGUGAAUGUGUGUGAG